Ictalurus punctatus (channel catfish) is the source of this 1654-nucleotide long non-coding RNA. The record is from Ensembl. Lineage: Eukaryota; Metazoa; Chordata; Actinopteri; Siluriformes; Ictaluridae.
GUUUUAUUCCUCAUGUAUGUAUAUAGUUGUGCCCAAAAGUUUGCAUACCCCUUGCAGAAUCUGCUCAAUCUUAAUACUGUUAACAAAAUAAGAUCGAUCAUAAAAAUCUGAUGUUGUUGUUUAUUUAGUUCUGUCUUGAAUAAGAUAUUUCACAUAACAUAUGUUUACAUAUAGUCCACAAGACAAGGUAAGGGCUGUAUUUAUUAAAAAAAAAUUACACCUUUCAAAAGUUUACACACGCUUGAUUAUUAACACUGUGUGUCGUUAUCUGGGUGAUCUACAACUGUGUUUGUUUUGUGAGAGUUGUUCAUGAGUCCCUUGUUUGUCCUGAUCAGUUAAACUGCCCAUUGGUCUUCAGAAAAAUCCUCCAGGUCCUGCACAUUCAUUGCUUUUCCAGCAUCUUCUGCAUAUUUGAGCCCUUUCCAACAGCGGCUAUAUGAUGUUCAGAUCCAUCUUUUCACACUCAGGACAGCUGAGGGACUCGUACACAACUAUUACAAAAGAUGCCAGUUCAGACGACGAGCCCUUGGUGAGGAAAGUGAAAGCAGCGAAGGUGAAGGAUAAGUUUAGAAAGAGAGCUAACGGAGAAGAGGACACAGUCAAACAAGACAGAGAGCUGAGCGAGGAGGACGAGCGUCCACACUGAGAGCCUGGCAGUAGUCACACACAACACAACACGUCUCGCACACGAAUUUAACAGAAGAAACGAGAAGAGGACUCGCUUGUUUCACCGUUCUGUGGAUCAGUAGUUCUGUGCUCAUUCCUUUAUUUAUGUAUAGGAAUAACGUCGCAUUUUCUGAACUCCUAAACCCCGAAACGUGAAUCCCUUUCACUCCAUAACACAUUGAAAAGCUUGAAGUAGUUUCUUUUAUAUUGUUUUAGCAUUUUAAAUUUUGUAUGGUCUUAACCAGGCUUCGGCCUUUUACAUCGUGUACGCUGAUGGUUUUUGAUUUGUAUUUUAAAACAAACAAAAAAAAGUCACUAAAUGUUAUUUACAUAGUUUCUAGGAAGGAAAGUGAAAUGAAAUGUGUUUUUUGAUAAUAUUGACGUGUACACAAGUAUAAACGCAGUGGUGUGAGAGAUAAAUGUGGAGAACGCUGUACAGUAGUUUUCUUUUUGUUUUUUGAUGACCGUUGUUUAGUUUCUUGUGAUUUAAUGUGAUUUUACCAGAUCAGAUUGUUGGAAUUCCCAACAAAUGAAAUAUUCCCGCUGUCAAUACAAUCUAAAGGCUUAAAAAAAUAAAUUACAUCAGUGACUUUGUAAUGAAAAUUGUAGGAACUCUGUGGUUAUUGCCUCUCACCGCUUUUUUCUUUACCGAACCAUACCAUUUUGUCACUCGGCUCUAAUAUAAAUGUCAAGCUUUAGCAAAAAGCUAUAUACAGUCCCCUUCGACACUAUUGGAAAGAAAAGGAAAAUUCAUUUGUUUUUGCUGUAGACUUAAGACAUUUGGGUUUGAGGUCAAAAGAUGAAUAUGAGAAGAGAGUUUUGAAUUUUAGCUUUUAUUUCCUGAUAUUUAUAUGUAAAUGUCUUCAACAAUAUAGAACACAGCACACUUUAUAUCAGAUUACAAAAUUUUGUAGGUGAGCAAAAAAUACUGGAACAUGUGACUGACAGGUGUUUCCUUGUUACCCAGGUGUGUCCUGUUAGAUUGAUU